UUUAAAUGCAAGAAUGAGUUUUCGUGUCCAAUUUUAAUCGUUCGUCUAAUUUAAAAUUUUUUAUAAUUACUAUCUUUGUUGUUAUGAGAUAAUAAAACAUAAAUAAUACUCUAUGUGUGGCUUAUAUUUUUAAUUUUUUUAAAAAAUUACAAAUAAAACGAACGAUCAACUGAGUACGCAAAACAUAACUGCACGACAG
This is a microRNA precursor of Oryza sativa Japonica Group (Japanese rice), 199 nucleotides long. It matches the Rfam family "MIR812 microRNA precursor family". Lineage: Eukaryota; Viridiplantae; Streptophyta; Magnoliopsida; Poales; Poaceae. The record is from Rfam.